Molecule: transfer RNA, 74 nt
Filed under: Pseudomonadota bacterium
Lineage: Bacteria; Pseudomonadati; Pseudomonadota
Also listed under: 2 other names
Description: tRNA-Arg
Rfam family: tRNA
About the family: Transfer RNA (tRNA) molecules are approximately 80 nucleotides in length. Their secondary structure includes four short double-helical elements and three loops (D, anti-codon, and T loops). Further hydrogen bonds mediate the characteristic L-shaped molecular structure. tRNAs have two regions of fundamental functional importance: the anti-codon, which is responsible for specific mRNA codon recognition, and the 3' end, to which the tRNAs corresponding amino acid is attached (by aminoacyl-tRNA synthetases). tRNAs cope with the degeneracy of the genetic code in two manners: having more than one tRNA (with a specific anti-codon) for a particular amino acid; and 'wobble' base-pairing, i.e. permitting non-standard base-pairing at the 3rd anti-codon position.
Source: RNAcentral
GCGGUCAUAGCUCAGCUGGAUAGAGCAUCGGCCUACGAAGCCGGGGGUCGAAGGUUCGAAUCCUUCUGACCGCA